Molecule: ribosomal RNA, 468 nt
Filed under: uncultured bacterium
Lineage: Bacteria
Description: partial 16S ribosomal RNA
Rfam family: Bacterial small subunit ribosomal RNA
Source: RNAcentral
GACGAACGCUGGCGGCGUGCUUAACACAUGCCAGUCGAACGGAAAGGCCCUGCUUUGGUGGGGUGCUCGAGUGGCGAACGGGUGAGUAACACGUGAGUAACCUGCCCAUGACUUUGGGAUAACUUCAGGAAACUGGGGCUAAUACCGGAUAGGAGCUCCUGCUGCAGGGUGGGGGUUGGAAAGUUUCGGCGGUUGGGGAUGGACUCGCGGCUUAUCAGCUUGUUGGUGGGGUAGUGGCUUACCAAGGCUUUGACGGGUAGCCGGCCUGAGAGGGUGACCGGCCACAUUGGGACUGAGAUACGGCCCAGACUCCUACGGGAGGCAGCAGUGGGGAAUAUUGCACAAUGGGCGGAAGCCUGAUGCAGCAACGCCGCGUGCGGGAUGACGGCCUUCGGGUUGUAAACCGCUUUCGCCUGUGACGAAGCGUGAGUGACGGUAAUGGGUAAAGAAGCACCGGCUAACUACGUG